UACGUGAAACCGUUGAAAGGGAAGCGAAUGGAGUUAGCAAUUCGCCCUGCCAGAUUCAGUUGCUCGUGCCUCGCGACGUGCGCGCUCUCGAUCCGCAUGGACGAGACGUGUGCGGGCGCGGCGUGCGGUCGGCGCACUUCUGGCGAGCGAGCGUCAGCGUCGGUUGCCGGCGGGCGACAAGGACACGAGGAAGGUGGACCGGCCUUUACGGUCGGUUGUUAAGCCUCGUGCUCGCAUAGCCCGACGGCGACCGUGGCCCUGCGACGCGUGCCUGGCUGGUGACUCGUACGAUCGGUCUGGCAUAACGACCGUGGCGGACGGCACGCCUGUGCGCUCGAACCGCUGCCGGUCGAUCGAACGAUGUUCGCACACUACGCGUCGAGGAUGCUGACGGCCAUACGGCUCCAUCCGACCCGUCUUGAAACACGGACCAAGGAGUCUAA
Molecule: ribosomal RNA, 443 nt
Filed under: Astrogorgia fruticosa
Lineage: Eukaryota; Metazoa; Cnidaria; Anthozoa; Malacalcyonacea; Astrogorgiidae
Description: partial large subunit ribosomal RNA
Source: RNAcentral